UCACUUCUUCAAAAUCCAGAGAAAUAUUGUUCUUGGUUGAGUUCAAUCUGAGUUUCGUCUUGUUGUUCAUAUGGGUGAUACUUACCCUUCCUCGUAUCCUCAGCAAAUAUGCUUCUGAUAAAUCAGUUGUCAGAGUAAGUAUCCUUUUCACCUUUGUCUUCUUCAUCUUUAUCUGCAUCUCAUUUUUUUUGCUUAUUCUUCCUAACUGUGAUCUCCGGUAUUGGAAUUUGGAGCUGUUUUUUAGUGCUGAAUGAGGCUUUGAGCCCAUUGGCUGUAAAUACAUAACCAAGUAAGCUCCUUCUGCUAAUUCUAGAUCUAUCCACACUUGCUUGAGUUAACAAAUUCUCCUUGGUGUAGCUAUGGCUGUGAUGGAGAUACCAAGAUGCUCGAACCCGAAAAUAGUUGCAAUGUCUUUUCAUCCUCAGGUGUAUCAUUCACAAAUCUUGUAUAAACUCUCCCCUACACUGGGAGUCCUUCUUGCUAGCUGUAGAUCUAUAGGCUAGGGUCUAAAUGGGAGGAACAACUCCUUCAGCCUGCUGCAACUUCUCUGAUUGCACCAAUUAAUCUACCUGCUGGCAGGCAACAAUUGUGUCCUGCUGUGCAGAAGAUAGAAGAAAUGGCUCUUUGAACUAGUCAUUUCUAUUCACGUUCCCCUGUUGCCACCAAAGUGUUGAGUCAAAGAACUUCUGAUUUCUCUUUUUAAAAUUUUUAAUUACUUGAUCAUAGAUUUCUAUUUACGUGGGAAAAUUACAGCUGAGACAUGCUAUAGUUUAGAUAUAUCCUAAAACACUUCCUGUUUUAUUUUCCAUUUUCAUUUUUUUCCCUUUGUGGUGCACUAGUCCCUAGGUUGGGGUUUCGUGGAUAGUAACUAGUAUCCAUUUCCAUCACAUACACGUGGAUUAUAUCAAUCGAUUGAUAUAGCUCUUAGGUUUCUAGCUUGAAUUAUUUUAAGUUGUCAAAGGAAUUUUCAAGAUGGUCUUAGCGAGUAUAAAUAUUGUGCAUUCAAACUUGUUUAAUUGAAAAGAAAUUGUUCGACUCAUGUACUUUCACCUCCCAUCUGGGUAUAGAUAAAUGUGUUGGGAACAAUUAGACGCCUUCCUAUUUUCUUAUCAGUUUGCUUAUAUGACUCCACUCUCGACUCUUAAGAACCAACUAAAGAUUUCUCUUCACUCACUUUGUUCUCUACCGAUCUACCCUUAUGAAAACCCCAUUUUAAAAUAGGAAAAGGAGCCUUUAGGCCCAAUGAUUGUUGACACCCAAUUUUGAUCUCCCGAUACUACAUUUAGACUGCUAUUUUAGCAAAAUUAUUAAUUUUUAAAUGUUAGUAUUUUUUACACAUUUUUCUUACAUCAAACAAAUUUUUGACGUGUCACAUUCAUGUUUUAAAAUGUACAAAUUAUUUUAUUAAUUUUUAAUGUCAUUUUUUUUACAAUUUAUUAAUUCAGAUACAACAUUUUACAUAAUUUUAUUAAUAUUUAUUAAAUUAUUUUUUCACAAAAUAUNNNNNNNNNNNNNNNNNNNNNNNNNNNNNNNNNNNNNNNNNNNNNNNNNNNNNNNNNNNNNNNNNNNNNNNNNNNNNNNNNNNNNNNNNNNNNNNNNNNNNNNNNNNNNNNNNNNNNNNNNNNNNNNNNNNNNNNNNNNNNNNNNNNNNNNNNNUCAACAUCCUAUUAUCUUUUUCGUUAUUAUUACAUCUGUUAAAUUGUAGCCUAAUUCAAUUCAAUUUCCUAGUUCAUUUAAAUGCUAGCCUUUUUCUAUUCGAUUUAUGACAAUUGUAGCCUAAUUUUACCCAAUUUAUUACAAUUUUAGUUACAUUUAUCUCCGUUUCAAUUCAUUUUCUAUUUUUAUAAUCCUUUUAAUCUCAGCCAUGGAUCAAUUUUGAUCCAACGACUGAGAUCAUAUCACUCACUCUUUCAAUCGUAAAAAACACUCAAACCCUAAUUCCUUAUUACAUAAAAACAUUUGCCUCUCUUGGUGCGCUCUCUCUCUCUACCUUUUCUCUCUCUCUACCUUCUCUCUAGCCUUACUUAUCUGUAUACCAUAACCAUGGCUGCCACCAGCCAUCCACCAUGAUUUGGAGAAAAAUUCGGGCUCCUCCCUCCCACUCUCUUUCGUCUCUCACUCUCAUUGCUGCCUCACCGAAAUUGAUGACUGACGAGUUUGAGGCAGCAUCAAUAGCGUCAACCGCCACUAAUGGCUGGCAAACAAACCAGCCACCGCGUCACCCUCCCCUCUCCAUCAUCAGCCACUAGAAAAACCAAGGGAAAAUAGCUCCAACCACCAAUCCCGCCACCGAACAACCAAAAUGCCUCCCAAUCGGCGCCACCAGCCGCAUCUGUUGGAAAGCAAACCGGCUAAGCUCCCCUCGAGCGAACAUCAAUAUCAGCCUGCUGCCACUCCAGACGAUGGAACUAGACCCAAUCGACACUGCCAACAACAGUAGUAGUAUCCCGCCGCCUGUCCUCUGCCGCUCUGUCAUUGCCGUGACUGCCUCCAGCAAUCGUGAACUAGCAACACAUCCCCAGCCGUGAUUUAGCCUCCCCCUCUUCUCACUGGUCACGUUCUCAUCAAAAUUGAGGACCGGUGAGGUCCCUUUUGGUGAACCCGACUUUAUACGAUUUGAUUCCUCAAUUGUGAACCCUUUUGCAUGUUCUUUUUCUUCUUUGGGUGCAAAUUUUCUAAAUUAAACUGUUAGAUCUAAAGUUUGUGAUAUCUGACUUUGAAUGUUGAUUCAAUCUAUUUAAUUACGUGUUUAUCUCUGCUUGUUCUCAAAAGAUGUUAUACUUGUAUUACGUUUGAUUUAAUUGAUAUUGAUUGAAAUUUGAAUCUGCUUUUAUGGUUAAAUAUUGAUUAUGAUUAUUCCUAAAUGAAAGUACUAAAUUGAUUUAGUAGAUUGGUGGAAUGGAUUUAGUUUGAUUUUUGUGAUUAGUUGCCUUAUGAUUUGUAAAUCAAUUUUUAAUAUAUACGCUAAAUACUAGUGUUGAUACAUGUUGCUAUUAUUAUUAUCUCUUCUCUUUUAAAUUCACACCUUAUUUUCCUCAUCUAUUUAUAGUAAAACAUUAAAUAAUUGAUUGAGUCCAUUUUUAGUUUUCUUUUUGCAAAUUAAAUGUAUAUUAACUAUUGUUUGCCUUGAUAAUGUGAUUUUUUAUGGUAAAUACGACAUUAAUGGGAUUGAGAUUUCUCCUAAUUGAUUCUUGAUAUAUUUUUCCUUUAAUUUUCGAAAGUGAUUUUUUUUAUAAUAUACUUUUUCCUUUUGUGGUACUGUAUUCCUACUACUGUAUAAACCGCCCUUCUUUUCAUUGGAGGGAAAGUUCUUGAAUGACAAUUACUACUCUCUAAAAUAAACAAAAACAAAAAGAACUACUGGCUAUUUUAAUACAAGGAAAUUAUAUAUUUUGAUGGUUCUUCAAUUUUCCUUCAAGGCUUACUGAAAACAUCUUCCAUAUUUCACUGUUACAAGUACUUGACCUUUAUUAUUCUUAUUAUCUCUUUUACUAUUGUUCACUGGUAAGUUCUUGAAAUGAUGUAAUUUUCAUUCUCUCUGUGUGUUGACUGCAUCACGUUGUGAAAGCCUUUACAAAACAUGUCUAUAGGAAUAUUUCGAUGUUUGUUAUUAUAUGUUCCUAUUUGCUUGCCAUUAUAUCUUGUUUCGCGGGUUUAUAUAGACAAUUACGGGGUUCUGAUAAGUUUCCGGGAUAUUUAUAAUAGAUUGUAUUAGUUCUACUUAGUUUUUUUUUUCUUAUUAAAGUACUACUGAAUAACUGAAACUUCUCUAACUUGUAUUAGCCAGAAGUGUGUUGUACCGUUGUUGUGUGCUUUUAUGUUUUUUUUUUUGUUAUACUGUUAUCUAUCCUGAGUCAGGGUUUAUCGAAAACAAUCUCUCUACUUCAUUCGAGGUAGUGGUGUGCACUGCGUACACAUUAUCCUCCUCAUACCCCACUAUGUGGGGAUACACUGGCUAUGUUGUUGUAUAAUUCGUUUAAGGUAGUGGUAUGGACUACGUAUAAUUACCCUCUCCAAACCUCACUUUGUGGGAAUGCACCGGGUAUGUUAUUGUUGUUGCUAUAGAAGUUUGAUGUGUUUACUGGAUAGUAUUUAUCUAGUUUCAGGGUAGCCUCGCUUUUCAUAAUUACAUGUUUAAUGGAUUCUAGUUGUGGCUUGGAGAAGAAGUAGCAUAUAGAGUCAUUUUAACUAUCAAACCUGAAAGAAUCAUCAUCAAUCUUAAUUUUCUUCUCUUUUCCACAGGUGUAAAAGUGAGUUGAAUGAAGACUAAUUGCAAGCUCAACAUGUUAUUGGUACUUUCGAAGAAGCCUCUACAUAUCUGCUUUAGUUUAGGAUAGGAGUAAUAUUUAGUACUAUAUUUCAGUUAGUUUCCUUUGUGUUGGACUAGUUUUACUUUUCUUGGAACUGUGAGGAGAUAUUACCUUAGUACAAUUUUAGUUUUUUUAAUUGUAUGAUUGUGGGUGAAUUUUAUCAAUCUGAC
This 4480-nucleotide long non-coding RNA is filed under the name Capsicum annuum. RNAcentral describes it as "long non-coding RNA (CANN_LNC011965)". Lineage: Eukaryota; Viridiplantae; Streptophyta; Magnoliopsida; Solanales; Solanaceae. The record is from RNAcentral.